UACGGAGGGUGCAAGCGUUAUCCGGAUUUACUGGGUUUAAAGGGUGCGUAGGUGGAUAAUUAAGUCAGUGGUGAAAUCUUCAGGCUUAACCUGGAAACUGCCAUUGAUACUAUUUGUCUUGAAUACUUCGGAGGUAAGCGGAAUAUGUCAUGUAGCGGUGAAAUGCUUAGAUAUGACAUAGAACACCAAUUGCGAAGGCAGCUUACUACACAGUAAUUGACACUGAGGCACGAAAGCGUGGGGAUCAAACAGG
RNAcentral lists this ribosomal RNA (253 nucleotides) under uncultured bacterium. RNAcentral describes it as "partial 16S ribosomal RNA". It matches the Rfam family "Bacterial small subunit ribosomal RNA", at positions 524 to 776 of the family's 1533-position model. The record is from RNAcentral.